RNAcentral lists this ribosomal RNA (497 nucleotides) under uncultured bacterium. RNAcentral's name for it is "partial 16S ribosomal RNA". It matches the Rfam family "Bacterial small subunit ribosomal RNA", at positions 28 to 507 of the family's 1533-position model. The record is from RNAcentral.
GAUGAACGCUGGCGGCGUGCCUAAUACAUGCAAGUCGAGCGAACAGAUGAGGAGCUUGCUCCUCUGACGUUAGCGGCGGACGGGUGAGUAACACGUGGAUAACCUACCUAUAAGACUGGGAUAACUUCGGGAAACCGGAGCUAAUACCGGAUAAUAUAUUGAACCGCAUGGUUCAAUAGUGAAAGACGGUUUUGCUGUCACUUAUAGAUGGUUCUCGGCCGCUUGAGCUAGUUGUUAAGGUAACGGCUUACCAAGGCAAGGAGGCGUAGCCGACCUGGGGGGGUGAUCGGCCACACUGGAACUGAGACACGGUCCAGACUCCUAAGGGAGGCAGCAGUAGGGAAUCUUCCGCAAUGGGCGAAAGCCUGACGGAGCAACGCCGCGUGAGUGAUGAAGGUCUUCGGAUCGUAAAACUCUGUUAUUAGGGAAGAACAAAUGUGUAAGUAACUAUGCACGUCUUGACGGUACCUAAUCAGAAAGCCACGGCUAACUACGUG